Long non-coding RNA from Cavia porcellus (domestic guinea pig), 2340 nucleotides. RefSeq lists it as uncharacterized. Lineage: Eukaryota; Metazoa; Chordata; Mammalia; Rodentia; Caviidae. The transcript is spliced from 3 exons. The record is from RefSeq and is a predicted model, not a curated record.
CCAAGGAAUCUCUGGGGCUGCACUGGGAAGCCCAAGGACGGAUGCUGGAAGCUGCAGUCUGUGCCGAAAGCCCAGAGACAACAUCCAAGUUGAAAGCGAAGGGAAGGGUUCUCCUCCAAAGCGAACAACAGCCAUCCUUAGUGAAGACCAAGACCAGAGCUCAGCUCAAGAGAAUGGCUGAAGCCCGCUGAAGAAAGCCAGCCGGAAUGAAGCACUUCUGAGGAAAAUCAGCUGAAAUCCACCCCUCCCAUUCUCCUUUUAUCCUCUUCUGAUAGCAACACUCCUUGAGAGGAUCUUCCAUGCCCAGAAUCGUGCUGACUCCAUUCAGCUGGGCAUUCUCAUUCAGGCUGACAAUUGGUCAACUAAGUACCAUAAUUAGAAUAGACCCCUAAUCCAGUAUAACUGGGCCUUCUAAGAAAAGGGAAAUUUGAACACAGACAAAAGGGGAGAAGGCCAGGUAACCAUGGAAAUGGAGAUUAUUGAGAUUAUUCCAAAUGCUGGAAGUGAAAGGGAACCAGAGCCUUCAGAGGAACCAGCACCCUGCUGACAUCUGUAUGUCAGACUUCCAGCCUCCAGGACUGGGAGAAAAACGUAUCUGCUGUCCAAAGCCACCUGGUUUGUGUUACUAGGUUGGACAGCAGCCCUAGGAAGCUAAUACAAUGUCAGCUGGAAAAUCAACCCCCAGUGUCAGCACCACAGAGAGUCAUGCAAGGAUCAAAGGUAAACUAAAGUCAAAACCACCACAGUAUCCUCCUGUGUCUUACUCUAAAGAAAUAUUAAUAGUGCAUGUCUUUUCAGUUUCUUCACUGCUCAGUUUGUCAAUUCAGAUGGAAAAGUGGACUUUGGAAAUUUUCAGGCGUCCUGACCUUUCUCUGUUUCUGGGUCAUAUGCACUUAGGCAGCUUAUGUAACCUUUCUGAGUCUUAAUUUCAUCAUUAAAAAAAAAAGAGGAAGCAGGGGUAAUAACUCCUAGACGCAUACAUUAACUUAAAUGUAAGGACAGUCUGGACCAAAAGGACGAACCAGAGGUGUCGCAUACCCCCACACCCUACUCAGGCUGCCUGCGGUGCCCGUAAGGCUUGCAGUUAUCUCCAAGCUUGUCUUGCAGUCAUGAUGCUCCCCAACAAGAUCAAAGUUUCAUUAGACAGGCUGGUGGGGAGUCAUCUGUGAAGAGGAUUAUUCUAUUCAAUUCUCCCUAGUGGGAAUGACGAAGGUGGGGUUUCCCCUCCUCAAUUUACCUGCUUCAGACCAAAUGAGACAGACAGACAGACAGCAGAAACUUAAGCGAGGAGGGAACACACGCACUGAUGUCUCUCUCCCCCAGGCCUCAUUUCUAAAAGGCUACAAGCUGAGACCACGCGGGUAGAAGUCAGAGGGCCAGCCAGGAAUCAGCCGUGCAGGUGGGUGUCUCUAACAUCCCCACAAGAGGGCCCCAAAGAUAAAGAAUCGAUCGGUAUUUGGCUGCCCGCCACACCUGCGUGGAUCGAUUUUAACUGCCAGUUGGAUAUAUAACCUUUCAACCGUCCAACUCCUCCUUUUCCCUUGAGUCCCAAAGAGUCCACACGUGUGGGCGGAAGCGUGGAGAAGCAAGAGCAGGGCCUGGAAAGGAAGCAACACCCCGAGCGUGAGAGCUCCAGGGAGGGGACUAAGGAGAGGAACUGUGCGAGCUUGUGAUGGGACUUUGACGUCCAGUCACUUCACACUUUUAAGUGAACGUCACAAGAACAGCUGUGGACUCGAAGGGAAAUUCAUCCAAGGCUGGAGGUCAAUAUUAAAAAGCAAUAUGGAACUUACUUGGAAUGCCUUUGCUAUUUCACCACUUCAAAUGUUGACCGUUGAUUGAAGUAGAUAUUCUUUGUGCGGAAGGUAAUACCCUUCUGAGUCCGGAGCCACACAAUAAAGCUUCAGUCAAGGACAGAUCACACAGUAAAGCUUCAAUGAAGGACAUAGAUGAUGAUGGUGGUUGAACCUAGCGUGUGCAGUGCUGGGAUUAGAGGUGGGUGGUUGCUGGAUACUGACUGGAUUGGCACCACUCUAAUCCAGGCAGUCUGGAUAAGAUAAAAUAGACAGAAAGCGGCUCUCUCCUUGCUCCUUACUUCUGCUGUCUUCCACCACCAUGAGCUUUUGCCCCUCUGUCAUGUACCCCCUGCCUUGGAGCCAGCCAAUAUGGACUGAAACCUCUACACACUGUGAGCUAAGUAAAUCUCCCCACUUUUAUUGGAUGUUGUCUCAGCAGGGCAAAAAGAUCACAUGAUGUAGUGAUGUUGUAGGUUUCUUAAUUUGUGAAAGUGUACUCUAUGGUGUUGGUACAAUAAAAUUGCCUAAGGAUGCUUUCCUCUGA